AGCCCAGAGCCUGAAUCAGUGUGUGUGUUAGUGGAAGCGUCUGGAAAGGCGCGCGAUACAGGGUGACAGCCCCGUACACAAAAAUGCACAUGCUGUGAGCUCGAUGAGUAGGGCGGGACACGUGGUAUCCUGUCUGAAUAUGGGGGGACCAUCCUCCAAGGCUAAAUACUCCUGACUGACCGAUAGUGAACCAGUACCGUGAGGGAAAGGCGAAAAGAACCCCGGCGAGGGGAGUGAAAAAGAACCUGAAACCGUGUACGUACAAGCAGUGGGAGCACGCUUAGGCGUGUGACUGCGUACCUUUUGUAUAAUGGGUCAGCGACUUAUAUUCUGUAGCAAGGUUAACCGAAUAGGGGAGCCGAAGGGAAACCGAGUCUUAACUGGGCGUUAAGUUGCAGGGUAUAGACCCGAAACCCGGUGAUCUAGCCAUGGGCAGGUUGAAGGUUGGGUAACACUAACUGGAGGACCGAACCGACUAAUGUUGAAAAAUUAGCGGAUGACUUGUGGCUGGGGGUGAAAGGCCAAUCAAACCGGGAGAUAGCUGGUUCUCCCCGAAAGCUAUUUAGGUAGCGCCUCGUGAAUUCAUCUCCGGGGGUAGAGCACUGUUUCGGCAAGGGGGUCAUCCCGACUUACCAACCCGAUGCAAACUGCGAAUACCGGAGAAUGUUAUCACGGGAGACACACGGCGGGUGCUAACGUCCGUCGUGAAGAGGGAAACAACCCAGACCGCCAGCUAAGGUCCCAAAGUCAUGGUUAAGUGGGAAACGAUGUGGGAAGGCCCAGACAGCCAGGAUGUUGGCUUAGAAGCAGCCAUCAUUUAAAGAAAGCGUAAUAGCUCACUGGUCGAGUCGGCCUGCGCGGAAGAUGUAACGGGGCUAAACCAUGCACCGAAGCUGCGGCAGCGACGCUUAUGCGUUGUUGGGUAGGGGAGCGUUCUGUAAGCCUGUGAAGGUGUGCUGUGAGGCAUGCUGGAGGUAUCAGAAGUGCGAAUGCUGACAUAAGUAACGAUAAAGCGGGUGAAAAGCCCGCUCGCCGGAAGACCAAGGGUUCCUGUCCAACGUUAAUCGGGGCAGGGUGAGUCGACCCCUAAGGCGAGGCCGAAAGGCGUAGUCGAUGGGAAACAGGUUAAUAUUCCUGUACUUGGUGUUACUGCGAAGGGGGGACGGAGAAGGCUAUGUUGGCCGGGCGACGGUUGUCCCGGUUUAAGCGUGUAGGCUGGUUUUCCAGGCAAAUCCGGAAAAUCAAGGCUGAGGCGUGAUGACGAGGCACUACGGUGCUGAAGCAACAAAUGCCCUGCUUCCAGGAAAAGCCUCUAAGCAUCAGGUAACAUCAAAUCGUACCCCAAACCGACACAGGUGGUCAGGUAGAGAAUACCAAGGCGCUUGAGAGAACUCGGGUGAAGGAACUAGGCAAAAUGGUGCCGUAACUUCGGGAGAAGGCACGCUGAUAUGUAGGUG
RNAcentral lists this ribosomal RNA (1457 nucleotides) under Escherichia coli. Its description in RNAcentral is "partial 23S ribosomal RNA". It matches the Rfam family "Bacterial large subunit ribosomal RNA", at positions 296 to 1764 of the family's 2925-position model. Lineage: Bacteria; Pseudomonadati; Pseudomonadota; Gammaproteobacteria; Enterobacterales; Enterobacteriaceae. The record is from RNAcentral.